This 253-nucleotide ribosomal RNA is filed under the name uncultured bacterium. Its description in RNAcentral is "partial 16S ribosomal RNA". It matches the Rfam family "Bacterial small subunit ribosomal RNA", at positions 524 to 776 of the family's 1533-position model. The record is from RNAcentral.
UACGGAGACUGCGAGCGUUACUCGGAUUCACUGGGCGUAAAGGGUGCGCAGGCGGCUAAUUGUGUCAGGUGUGAAAUCCCGGGGCUUAACUCCGGAACUGCGCCUGAAACUGAUUGGCUAGAGGCUCGGAGAGGUAAGCGGAAUUCCAGGUGUAGCAGUGAAAUGCGUAGAUAUCUGGAGGAACACCAAAGGCGAAGGCAGCUUACUGGAAGAGUUCUGACGCUCAGGCACGAAAGCGUGGGUAGCGAAAGGG